GUGCACCCUGCAGAGCCCAGCAAAGCGAGCGAGGCUUAAUGGACGGCCGAGCGCAGCUGAUCAAGGCCCUCCUGGCCCUGCCUAUUCGGCCGCAGACGCGUCGGUGGAGGAACCCGAUCCCCUUCCCCGAGACGUUUGACGGCGACACCGACCGGCUCCCGGAGUUUAUCGUGCAGACGGGCGCCUACAUGCUAGUGGACGAGAACCUGUUCACCAACGAUGCCCUGAAGGUGACGUUCCUCAUCACCCGCAUGACUGGGCCAGCCCUGCAGUGGGUGAUCCCCUACAUCAGGAAGCAGAGCCCCCUCCUCAAUGAUUACCGGGGCUUCCUGGCCGAGAUGAAGCGGGUGUUUGGAUGGGUGGAAGACGAGGACUUCUAGGCCGGGAGCGCCUCAGGUCUGGGGGCGGGUGCUCGGGGGAGGGUCCGCCGCGCCAAUCGCCGCCUCCCAGAUCGCCACAGGCGUCCUCCCGCCGUGUCCCCCCUCACCUUCGGGUGGCCGUGAUCUCCCCCGUGCUCGUGUCCCCUCCCGCGUAGUGCUUGCUUUUGUUCCAGGAAUAGCGCUCCAGGUUCUAGCUGCUGGCGCCGCCCUCUCGAGUCAGCCCAGCCUCUCCCCUGCACACUUGGACUCGGUCCUGCGCUCCAACUGCAAGCCGGGCUCCUGUUACCCACUGGGCAGACCACCCACACCCAGCCGCUGCCAACCGCCCGCCCCCUGCCAGACUCCCAGGCCCGCCUGGGGGUGGCCAGAGACCUGCGCUGCGGCGGCCAUCACCGUGCACGCAUUCCACCCACAGACUGCAGCCUUCGGCGAUCUGCACUCACCCGGGAGGUGUCUGAGAGGGCCACAGCCUCUGGACAAACAAGGAUUCCAACAGCUCACCACCGUCCUGGAGGGGCUGGCCAGCCUUUCACCUGUGAUGGGACCCAGGCCUAGAGACAUCUUCUGUUCCUGCUCGGUGUGACCACUAGGUCCCAGGGCUGCCUGGCAGCCAAAUCGAGUCACUCAUUGUCUCCUGCGGACCUGUUGGUUUCACCCAGAAUCCAGUUCUCUUCUGAAUGUGCAGCUGUGUCUCUGAUGUGUGCCUUUUGUUCAGCACAGUAACCCCUGCACUCUGCCCAGCUCUUCUGCACUACCUGGACAAAUUUUUUUUCCUUAUUUUCAAAAUGUCAGACGAUGUUCAGAAAGAAAUUGAGUCUUCAUGAAUAUGACAUCUCUCCCUCCAUGGUCCAAUAAGUGGGGUGCAUGACUUGCUCAGAAGAUUCUGCUAAAGUGGUUUGAGAAGUGCUUGGAAGCAGUUUAUGGUGUAGAUCCAGCAUAUUCCCUACAGUCUGUGUCCAUCUGGCUCUCAAGGUAGGUAGAAUGGCCUGGGACAACUCGGUAUCCUUUCAACAGUGUUGGUAACCCCUUGCCUCCCUCAACAAAAAUGCCCCUGGAGCCUUCUUCCUCCUGCCAGAAUGGCUCUGUUAGGCAUUAUUCCUUUGUCUAUACCAGUUGUAUCAUCCCAGGUCCUUUUUU
Molecule: long non-coding RNA, 1517 nt
Organism: Capra hircus (goat)
Lineage: Eukaryota; Metazoa; Chordata; Mammalia; Artiodactyla; Bovidae
Product: protein FAM127
Exons: 2
Source: RefSeq, a predicted model, not a curated record